Molecule: long non-coding RNA, 446 nt
Organism: Ctenocephalides felis (cat flea)
Lineage: Eukaryota; Metazoa; Arthropoda; Insecta; Siphonaptera; Pulicidae
Exons: 3
Source: RefSeq, a predicted model, not a curated record
UGUUGCUAAAUAUUUCUGUUCUAGUGAAUAUUUAAUAAAUAAAUUUAGUAUGGUCACGUGCCAAGUUGUUUCAACUAAUGAAUAUUGAAUUGCACGUCUUAAGUGAUGGCCAGAAGUCAAACACUUUUCAAUCAAUUCAAGAAAGCAUCCUAAAGUUCAUGUUCUCCGGAGCCUAAAUAUGCCGGAUUUGUACUAUAUGAAUGUAUUUUAAUAAUAAUUAUUUUAGAACUUGGUAUAUCAAUGUCAAUUCAUAAAAAUGAUGUAGAGGCAGUGGCAGAUUGUCGAAGGAGAGUAAUCUUACUUCAGGCUUCUUUGACCUGUAUUGAAGUGUGUGGAUUAGACAAAUCUCCUUUACGGGAAUCAUGAAAGAGUUUCCCUCUCACACAGUCACGACUAGGAGAGCAUUCUGAUGUAGAAUCAGGCGAUAAUUCUGAUAGAGGGUAAAC